AAUACACGUCACUGACACCCGUUACAAUGGGAAGUACCAGUGGCGCUGCACCCUGGUGAACCCCCGCACAGCCAAGCCCUUGCAGGCGGGGGUCAUGCCCAAUUACAACAGGUAUCCAAGAAGGGCUCUGAGCGUGUGCGAUUGGUCAAGGCUGUGUCCCCCAGCUGUCGUGGGACUGGUUCCACCCCACAGGUCCUUUACACACUCAGCAACCGUCAUGAGGAGCACCUGAUUCCUUACAGUAUGGUCCAGCCAAUACAGGUCAAGACCAAACGGCCUGUCAUCUUCUCCCCCUCCUUGCUCUCUCGCGGCCUCAUAGAGAGACUGCUUCAGCCAGCAGAGUCUGGACUGGACUUCAACACCUGCCAACCAGAGCCAAUCCAGGCCACAGAGAGAAAUAUUAAGAGUGUUUUCCUGCUAGAUGCUUCCACCCCAGAGCAGGCUCUUGGAAUCAGUCUGCAGUCUAUUCAGGAUGUAAUAAGCCAGCGUCAUCCUUGUGAUAGAUCGUGACAGAAUGCAGAAGCCAUCACACGAAGCAUCGGGGAGUACUGGCGUUCUGGUUGGUAUAGUGGCAUCGGCUCUGGGUCACCACCGAUGGAACCGGGGGUGCCUAGCCUGCUCGUCGGGCUUCCACGCCCUAGCAGGCUCGAGAGGUUUCCUUGCCCGGGUUGGCUCGGAUGGCGCCCAUCCCACGUCGGGCCUCAGCUGGAUCGUCAGUUCUUGUCUGCCCAGCCGGUCCAGGAGUUUUUUGUUUGUUUGUUUUUUGUUUUGUCGGUGACGUCGGGGGUGGAUUCUGCCGCCGAUGGAACCGGGGGUGCCUAAGCCAGCCCGUCGAGCUUUCAUGCCCUGGCUGGCUCGAGAGGUUUCAUUGCCUCGGUUGGCUCGGUGGCUUCCCAUCCCACGUCACACUCCACCGGAUCAUCGGGUUUCCUCAGCGGGAUCGACAGGCGUCUUGACUCAGCCGGAUCGUCAGGCUCCCAUGCCUCAGCCGGCUCGCCAGGCUCUCACGCU
Molecule: long non-coding RNA, 1011 nt
Organism: Salvelinus namaycush (lake trout)
Lineage: Eukaryota; Metazoa; Chordata; Actinopteri; Salmoniformes; Salmonidae
Exons: 5
Source: RefSeq, a predicted model, not a curated record